This 427-nucleotide ribosomal RNA is filed under the name uncultured bacterium. Its description in RNAcentral is "bacterial SSU rRNA". It matches the Rfam family "Bacterial small subunit ribosomal RNA", at positions 28 to 457 of the family's 1533-position model. The record is from RNAcentral.
GACGAACGCUGGCGGCGUGCCUAACACAUGCAAGUCGAGCGGGGUCCAUCCGGUAGCAAUACCGGGAAGACCUAGCGGCGAACGGUGAGUAACACGUGAGAAACCUGCCCCGAAGUCUGGGAUAACCCGAGGAAACUCGAGCUAAUACCGGAUGUCUUCUUCUGAUCGCAUGGUCGGAUGAAGAAAGAUUUAUCGCUUCGGGAGGGUCUCGCGGCCUAUCAGCUAGUUGGCGGGUAACGGCCCACCAAGGCGUCGACGGGUAGCUGGUCUGAGAGGACGAUCAGCCACACUGGGACUGAGACACGGCCCAGACUCCUACGGGAGGCAGCAGUGGGGAAUAUUGCGCAAUGGCGAAAGCCUGACGCAGCAACGCCGCGUGCGGGAUGAAGGCCUCGGUGUAAACGCUUCAGUGGGACGAAGUUCAGAC